UAUACAUAUAAACAUCACAAAAUUAAAGAAGGAAGAGGUGACUAGGGGCUAUCCCACCAGGAGGACCCUACCGGAACUGAGUAAAUCUGGCUUUGGGGACCACCACACAAGGCGCCUGAAUUCCUUAAAGAAAAGAAGCAUAAAAGAUCAGUCUUAGGGAUUCUACACACAGAUGGACAGCUAUGAUGCCAGCGUAAUGAUCAGUGUGGACAUGAAGAAGAAUGGGAGAUUGAUUUGUGAGUCUGUGGGAGUGGGUAAAAAUAGACAGGAGUAUUAUUCAAUCCAUUUUCAUCCAUUUUUGAAGAAUGAUUUUCUUUUUCAAGACAAAUAUAAAAACUGGAAGUUUCAACUGUAAAUAACUAAAAACUAAU
Long non-coding RNA from Hyla sarda, 371 nucleotides. RefSeq lists it as uncharacterized. NCBI's taxonomy places the organism in Eukaryota, Metazoa, Chordata, Amphibia, Anura, Hylidae. The transcript is spliced from 3 exons. The record is from RefSeq and is a predicted model, not a curated record.